UGGGGAAUAUUGGACAAUGGGCGAAAGCCUGAUCCAGCCAUGCCGCGUGUGUGAAGAAGGUCUUCGGAUUGUAAAGCACUUUAAGUUGGGAGGAAGGGCAUUAACCUAAUACGUUAGUGUUUUGACGUUACCGACAGAAUAAGCACCGGCUAACUCUGUGCCAGCAGCCGCGGUAAUACAGAGGGUGCAAGCGUUAAUCGGAAUUACUGGGCGUAAAGCGCGCGUAGGUGGUUUGUUAAGUUGGAUGUGAAAUCCCCGGUCUCAACCUGGGAACUGCAUUCAAAACUGACUGACUAGAGUAUGGUAGAGGGUGGUGGAAUUUCCUGUGUAGCGGUGAAAUGCGUAGAUAUAGGAAGGAACGCCAGUGGCGAAGGCGACCACCUGGACUAAUACUGACACUGAGGUGCGAAAGCGUGGGGAGCAAACA
RNAcentral lists this ribosomal RNA (427 nucleotides) under uncultured bacterium. Its description in RNAcentral is "partial 16S ribosomal RNA". It matches the Rfam family "Bacterial small subunit ribosomal RNA", at positions 355 to 774 of the family's 1533-position model. The record is from RNAcentral.